ACACCUUAUUUUCUCAUCAAAUCUUCUUCAAAAACCCAUCUAAAACUUCUGAAAAUUUAUGUUUAUAAACUCAAAUCUCCCAUAAAAAUAAUCUUCAUCUUAAGAGCUUUCCAUAGACACCAAACUUGAAGAAAUCCACCAAGUAUAGAGUUUAGUUGAAGAGUUGGAGUUGAGACUUGAAGGGCAAGGACCCAAAGUUAGAACCACUUCUAAGAACGCGUAGGAGCUUACGUGGGAGCUUACGGAAUAAUUAUAUAGGCUUGGAGUCGAGAGUAAACCCCUAUGGCACCUCGACGGAGAAUGGAUAUGCGAGCGGAAGAUGAACCUGAGUUGGAGUAUGACUCCCCUUUGUUUAGAUCUCGUUAUUUUAUUUGAGAGACUGUUAGUUUAGAUUUAGACUAUUUUAAGGAUGUCAUUUGACCUUUGGACUUAUUUCGAUUUGGUUGUAAUUUUCCUAUAUUUUGGACAGUUAAGACUUCCGUUAUAUUGCUUUGGUUUGGUUCAAGUAUUAUACUUGAAUAUUGGUUUGACCUUUAAGUAACCCCUUAAUUGUGUUGGCAAAAGUAAGCUUCCGCUUGAUUA
Amaranthus tricolor (Joseph's coat) is the source of this 582-nucleotide long non-coding RNA. RefSeq lists it as uncharacterized. NCBI's taxonomy places the organism in Eukaryota, Viridiplantae, Streptophyta, Magnoliopsida, Caryophyllales, Amaranthaceae. The transcript is spliced from 3 exons. The record is from RefSeq and is a predicted model, not a curated record.